Molecule: long non-coding RNA, 292 nt
Organism: Leptinotarsa decemlineata (Colorado potato beetle)
Lineage: Eukaryota; Metazoa; Arthropoda; Insecta; Coleoptera; Chrysomelidae
Source: RefSeq, a predicted model, not a curated record
GAUAUUUGUUCAAUUCUUGUCAAUAAUUGUUGAGAAGUAUUUACAAUAGAGUGAGUUGAAAAAAUGAAUAUUCGAGUAUCCCGAUUUGAUACUUAAUUUUGAUGAGAAAAAUACAUUAAACUCACUGUUCACAGCUACCCAUUCAUUGAGAUCUUCUCCUUCAGGAAGCAUAACAGCUAAUCGUAAGUUACCAGAGCCCAGUGUCGCAGCAGCAUGUUUCAUUAACUCAUACUGAUGGGUCCCUUCAGGUAUAUUCUUUUUUGGCUUGAAUGUUUUUGAAGAACGGCUUCCA